RNAcentral lists this long non-coding RNA (554 nucleotides) under Homo sapiens (human). RNAcentral describes it as "HSALNT0331269". The record is from RNAcentral. Lineage: Eukaryota; Metazoa; Chordata; Mammalia; Primates; Hominidae.
ACCCGGAGUUCGCUGGGAGAAAAACUUGGUGGGGAGACGCCCUUCCCCCCCUACGCGGGACGGGAAGGAUGCAACCUGCUGGAGGAACGCGUGUAAUGCGGUGGUAAUCGCGCUGCACCACCCUAGCACUUAAUAAUUGCCUGUUAAAUGGAUGAGUGAAUUAAUUUCUAUAGUGUUACAAUACUUUCACACCCAUCGUCUGACUCCUUCCGACAGCACAGCGAGGCAGGUACGGAUCAUUCCCAUUUUGCAGAUUACUGGUGUUUCCUCAAGUGACCACUUGUGUCAUAAAAACUUGGAAAAUGGACUGACAUGCAGAUCCGUGGGCCACUCUCCAGCCCCACUGAAUCAGACACUUUGAGGUGGAUUUCAGAAAGGAUACACUCGCCAGCACUUUUGCCACGAGAGUACACUGAACAAAGGAGACAGGGUCAUCUAUAACCUGACGCGUCCACCUUCCUGCUGUGUCCGGUUUUUAUUGGCUGGAACGGGACCUCACAUUUUGUAUUUGUCCUGAUUGGCUAGUAACUUAGAACUUUUUAAAAGAGGCAAAG